UGGACGCUACUGUUCCUGUGCAAGAACUC
RNAcentral lists this non-coding RNA (29 nucleotides) under Homo sapiens (human). Lineage: Eukaryota; Metazoa; Chordata; Mammalia; Primates; Hominidae. The record is from RNAcentral.